CCUACGGGUGGCUGCAGUGGGGAAUAUUGCACAAUGGGCGCAAGCCUGAUGCAGCCAUGCCGCGUGUGUGAAGAAGGCCUUCGAGUUGUAAAGCACUUUCAGCGGGGAGGAAGGCGGUGAGGUUAAUAACCUCAUCGAUUGACGUUACCCGCAGAAGAAGCACCGGCUAACUCCGUGCCAGCAGCCGCGGUAAUACGGAGGGUGCAAGCGUUAAUCGGAAUUACUGGGCGUAAAGCGCACGCAGGCGGUCUGUCAAGUCGGAUGUGAAAUCCCCGGGCUCAACCUGGGAACUGCAUUCGAAACUGGCAGGCUAGAGUCUUGUAGAGGGGGGUAGAAUUCCAGGUGUAGCGGUGAAAUGCGUAGAGAUCUGGAGGAAUACCGGUGGCGAAGGCGGCCCCCUGGACAAAGACUGACGCUCAGGUGCGAAAGCGUGGGGAGCAAACAGGAUUAGAUACCCUUGUAGUC
RNAcentral lists this ribosomal RNA (465 nucleotides) under uncultured Klebsiella sp. RNAcentral describes it as "bacterial SSU rRNA". It matches the Rfam family "Bacterial small subunit ribosomal RNA", at positions 338 to 795 of the family's 1533-position model. Lineage: Bacteria; Pseudomonadati; Pseudomonadota; Gammaproteobacteria; Enterobacterales; Enterobacteriaceae. The record is from RNAcentral.